This 72-nucleotide transfer RNA is filed under the name Candidatus Acidiferrales bacterium. Its description in RNAcentral is "tRNA-Val". It matches the Rfam family "tRNA". From Rfam's summary of the family: Transfer RNA (tRNA) molecules are approximately 80 nucleotides in length. Their secondary structure includes four short double-helical elements and three loops (D, anti-codon, and T loops). The record is from RNAcentral. Lineage: Bacteria; Pseudomonadati; Acidobacteriota; Terriglobia; Candidatus Acidiferrales. RNAcentral also lists the same sequence under 2 other names.
GGGCGAAUAGCUCAGCGGUAGAGCACUCGCUUCACACGCGAGGGGUCGUAGGUUCGAACCCUACUUCGCCCA